CCUACGGGUGGCAGCAGUAGGGAAUCUUUCACAAUGGGCGAAAGCCUGAUGGAGCAACGCCGCGUGCAGGAUGAAGGCCUUCGGGUUGUAAACUGCUUUCAUAAGCGAGAAAUAUGAUGGUAACUUAUGAAUAAGGAUCGGCUAACUACGUGCCAGCAGCCGCGGUCAUACGUAGGAUCCGAGCAUUAUCCGGAGUGACUGGGUGUAAAGAGUUGCGUAGGUGGCAUAAUAAGUAGCUAGUGAAAUCUGGUGGCUCAACCAUUCAGACUAUUAGGUAAACUGUUAAGCUCGAGACCGUUAGAGGUAACUGGAAUUUCUAGUGUAGGAGUGAAAUCCGUAGAUAUUAGAAGGAACACCAGUAGCGUAGGCAGGUUGCUGGGACGGUUCUGACACUAAGGCACGAAAGCGUAGGGAGCAAACGGGAUUAGAUACCCCUGUAGUC
Molecule: ribosomal RNA, 442 nt
Filed under: uncultured bacterium
Lineage: Bacteria
Description: partial 16S ribosomal RNA
Rfam family: Bacterial small subunit ribosomal RNA
Source: RNAcentral